This 67-nucleotide transfer RNA is filed under the name Gekko cicakterbang (Malaysia parachute gecko). RNAcentral describes it as "tRNA-Trp". Lineage: Eukaryota; Metazoa; Chordata; Lepidosauria; Squamata; Gekkonidae. The record is from RNAcentral.
AAAUUUAGGUUACAAUAAACCAAGGGCCUUCAAAGCCCCAAACAGGGUUAUCACACCCUAAUUUCUG